Molecule: ribosomal RNA, 195 nt
Filed under: Triticum aestivum (bread wheat)
Lineage: Eukaryota; Viridiplantae; Streptophyta; Magnoliopsida; Poales; Poaceae
Description: partial small subunit ribosomal RNA
Source: RNAcentral
UCUAAGAAGAUCUGGAAGAUGAAGAUACCUCUUAAGAAUAAAAUCUUUGCAUGGUAUCUUCAUCGCGGAGUCAUUCUUACUAAAGAUAACCUUAUUAAGAGGAAUUCACAUGGAAGUACACAAUGUGUCUUUUGUCCGCAGAAUGAGACAAUAAAACAUUUAUUCUUCCAAUGUAAGCUCGUUCUAUAUGAGUAG